Molecule: transfer RNA, 69 nt
Filed under: Rhabdoblatta saussurei
Lineage: Eukaryota; Metazoa; Arthropoda; Insecta; Blattodea; Blaberidae
Description: tRNA-Val
Source: RNAcentral
CAAGUUAACUUAAUAGAUAAGAAUUUCAUUUACAUUGAAAUUUAUGUUGUGCAAAUCAAUAUAACUUGA